Molecule: long non-coding RNA, 263 nt
Organism: Vidua chalybeata
Lineage: Eukaryota; Metazoa; Chordata; Aves; Passeriformes; Viduidae
Exons: 3
Source: RefSeq, a predicted model, not a curated record
AACGUGAAGACAGUCAUUCUUUCAAAAGAGGAAGUAUUCUCAUAUGACAAAAAAAUUAUGAUAGCGUAACUGGAAAGGAGUAAUGUAAAAGGAAAAAUUGAAAGCUUCAAAACCGAUGCACUUCACUAACCCUAUGAAUUUCAAAACCUUCAGAAGAAGUAAAGGACAAUUAUAGAGUGCCACAGGCCAUGGGCUACAGUACUUGGGCAUGGAGAGCAUAAACUGAAGCAGGAAUCCUUGUUGCAUCCAUAUUACUGGCAGUA